GACGAACGCUGGCGGCGUGCUUAACACAUGCAAGUCGAACGGAAAGGCCUGCUUUCCCUUGUGGAUUGCGGGUACUCGAGUGGCGAACGGGUGAGUAACACGUGAGUGAUCUGCCCCCAACUUUGGUAUAAGCCUGGGAAACUGGGUCUAAUUCCCGAUAGGACUGCAGGGUGGUGCCUGUGGUGGAAAACGAUUUUCUAGUGGUUGGGGAUGAGCUCGCGGCCUAUCAGCUUGUUGGUGGGGUAAUGGCCUACCAAGGCGGCGACGGGUAGCCGGCCUGAGAGGGUGGACGGCCACAUUGGGACUGAGAUACGGCCCAGACGCCUACGGGAGGCAGCAGUGGGGAAUAUUGCACAAUGGGCGGAAGCCUGAUGCAGCGACGCCGCGUGGGGGAUGACGGCCUUCGGGUUGUAAACUCCUUUCGACCGCGAGGAAGCCACCUGGUUGGAAGGGUGGUGACGGUAGUGGUAGAAGAAGCACCGGCUAACUACGUG
RNAcentral lists this ribosomal RNA (494 nucleotides) under uncultured bacterium. RNAcentral's name for it is "partial 16S ribosomal RNA". It matches the Rfam family "Bacterial small subunit ribosomal RNA", at positions 28 to 507 of the family's 1533-position model. The record is from RNAcentral.